CCGUUUCUCUUCUUCUCUUUUCAAAACUUAUUAAUAACUCCGUAAAAGAUUUUUUUUCUUUUUUAAUCUGUGGCUAAUGCGGUGAACCUUUAAUUUAUGCAGGUACCACUUGUGCCACAGUCCUCACCCGUGCUAUAUUUUCCGAGGGCUGCAAAUCAGUUGCAGCUGGGAUGAAUGCAAUGGACCUGUGUCAUGGAAUCACAAUGGCUGUUGAUGCUGUUGUUACAAACCUGAAGAGCAGAGCCAGAAUGAUUAGCACAAUUGAAGAAAUUGCACAGGUUUAUUUCUUUCACCCAUUAGUUUUGUUGCAAUUGUUAGAAGUGAAGGGUUGUAAUGAACCAUUAUGGGCUACAGUUAUUGUUUUUUUUUUUUACUCAGCAGUUGAUUUAAUUCUGUUGGCUGCAGUUCUUUCAUUAGGAAAAAAAAAAAAUCUCUAACUAUGAUUCAUGCUUUAAUUUCUUCUAGAAAUUUUGGGCAUUCACAAUUUACAAGUGCCAUAUACUUCUUAUAUAUAAAUAAAGUAAAAUACUUUGUUGUCAUAAUGAACUACGUUGAGAUUGGAAUUUUCGGUAGCAGUACUUGAGAGUUGAUUUUCCAUGUCUUUGUAAAAUUUGGCUCAAUUAGUUUUCAUGGGAGGGAUAGAUAUCGCUUGUUGCAAUAUCGAUUGUUUAAUAUCAAGUUGCUUUUGAUGGUUAAUAAAAUUCUUAAAAGAAUCCAUUUAGGCUAAAUUAGUACCAAUAUUGGUGAUAGAUUAAUAUUCGAUAUAGUUUCUAUUUUCAAUCAUUUUUCUAUUUGAUGGUUAAUAUUCAAUAUAGUUUCUAUUUUCAAUCAUCUUUCUAUUUGAUAGUUAAUAUUCCUUCUUUCUCUGUAUUUCUCUUUGUUUACUUCUUUUUAAGUUUCAGAUUAUAAAAUUCUUUAAUCUUCUAGGGUUUCCUUCUUCGUAAGAGUAGAGAGAAGCUCUAGAUUGCAGCUCAAAGUGUUUCCUUCUGUUAAUCUGAUUGCAUUGAAGUGUUUUCGCAUGAAGUAAUUCCUUUUCUCUCCACUCCUCUCUAUAUGUUACUUUUAGUAUGGCAUGUUUGGUACUUUUGUAAUAGGUGCAAAGUCAUUCAAUCGGCAAAGCUUUGAUCACAUUGGAGACACUCAAAAUCCUUAUGAGCAAGCAAUAUCUAUCAUUUGAAGAGCAUUAAGGUUUUUUUUUUUAUGAGAAUGAUUUGAUACCCUGUUUCAGAUUUGGAGAUGACAGUUUCUUAUGAUCAUAUGCUUUCAUGGGUUGUUUAGUAGCUGACUCUAUCUUGAUUACACACUAACGUUCUCUUUUCUAUAUUUUGGCAACAUCAAUAUAUGAUCAAGAUGUCUUUAGUUACUAUCCUAAUGAGAGACACUGAUGGAUUAGAGAAAGCUUUGACUCCAACAAAUAAAUAGUCCCCUUCUACCGUUGGCAGGAAUGGACUCUCUAUGAGAUAUUAAGAUAUGCACUCCAACACAAUUGGACUGCUUAUGAGGAAGCUCUGAAAACAAACCCUCUUUUGGCCAAAAUGGUAAUAAAUGGAGUCGUCUACUCCUUGGGGGGAUUGGAUUGUGCAAGUAUGACUUAGUCUUGAAAUAAAACCUUGUUUCUUGGUUAUCUUCUUUUUCUAUUACGAAAAUUUGGUAAUCUAUUACUUUAUUCUAAAAUAACUUGCAAUGCUAUGAAGGAAACCUCUUUUUGAGUUUGACAAAACCCAAAUAUUCAGAUCAAGCCUUGUAGGGUUCUCUCUACAUGGCUCCCUUUUUUUCUAUUAUUACUAAUUCUGUGAAGGGACUAUCAUGGUUUACAUUAGAGUAUUUAUCUCAAUUUAUUUUUUGAUUCUCUUUAGAAGAUUGAAGACCUUUGUUGUCCAGGCUCUUUUUUCUUUCCAGGGCUGGUGUGGUCCCUACUAAGGUUAUUGAGUCUGAUCAUGACAACCAUCCGCACCAAGGCCUUAUCAAAUGUUAUUUGCUCACAAGAGUUUGAGCCCAGCUGCAUAUGUGUGCAUAUAUAUAUAUAUAUAUAUAUAUAUAUUUUCUUUUCUUCAUUUAUUGCUCUCUCUCUCUCUCUCUCUCUCUCUCUUUUUGCAACACAUGAUUAUAAAUGCAACUAAAGUACUAAACUAACUAGCCUCAUUCCAGUUACUUGUAGUUGGGUCCAACAAUUCUGUUGCUCCUUAUACUCUAUUUAAGUUCAAUUAUUCAAACACUCAUGCUAAUGCAUUUUCUCACUACAACCUGAUAUUCUCGAGAUUUCCCAGUACAUUUUCUUCUUGGAUUCUCAAUGCAUAUUUAUGUUUUGUUUUGAGGAAAUGAAUCAGUACAAUUUGGGCAUUUGUAGCCAAAGAAAGCUUAGGAAAGGCUUAUUUGUUCUUCGUAGAUGGGCAAUGAUUAUUUUCUUUAAAGGAACAUGUGUUUGCACCUCCUUAAACUCCGGAAAAAUAGCAUGGGUUUUAUUUGAUUUGAAAUAUUAUAUUUCAAUUUUGUUUUUUCCUUUCUUUGAUCACAACUUUUAUAAUUUAAAUAUUUAUCUUUAACUCAAUUUGCAGAGCACUUCGGGUGUGGGUAGUUAUUUCAAGCCUCAAAAGGAUGGUGGUUCGAAUCCACCAAGUCCCUUGUCUAUAUUUUCAUUUUAAUUUUACUGAUAGUGUCAUGGGAAUUGAUACAUAUCAAAUGAAAAGCAAAAAUGUCCUAUAACUUUUAUUU
RNA transcript from Macadamia integrifolia, 2712 nucleotides. RefSeq lists it as uncharacterized. Lineage: Eukaryota; Viridiplantae; Streptophyta; Magnoliopsida; Proteales; Proteaceae. The transcript is spliced from 2 exons. The record is from RefSeq and is a predicted model, not a curated record.